CUGGGAGUACGGUCGCAGAUUAAACUCAAGGAAUUGACGGGGCCCGCACAGCGGUGGAGCAUGUGUUUAAUUUGAAGCAACGCGCAGAACCUUACCAACCCUUGACAUCCCCGGACCGCCGGAGAGAUCCGGUUUUCUCGUAAGAGACCAGGAGACAGGUGCUGCAUGGCUGUCGUCAGCUCGUGUCGUGAGAUGUUCGGUUAAGUCCGGCAACGAGCGCAACCCACACUCUUAGUUGCCAGCAUUCAGUUGGGCACUCUAAGAGAACUGCCGAUGAUAAGUCGGAGGAAGGUGUGGAUGACGUCAAGUCCUCAUGGCCCUUACGGGUUGGGCUACACACGUGCUACAAUGGUGGUGACAAUGGGUUAAUCCCUAAAAGCCAUCUCAGUUCGGAUUGGGGUCUGCAACUCGACCCCAUGAAGUCGGAAUCGCUAGUAAUCGCGUAACAGCAUGACGCGGUGAAUACGUUCCCGGGCCUUGUACACACCGCCCGUCACACCAUGGGAGUUGGGUCUACCCGAAGGUGGUGCGCCAACCUGCAAAGGAGGCAGCCAACCACGGUAGGCUCAGCGACUGGGGUGAAGUCGUAACAUGGUAGCCGUAA
RNAcentral lists this ribosomal RNA (604 nucleotides) under uncultured Paracoccus sp. RNAcentral's name for it is "bacterial SSU rRNA". It matches the Rfam family "Bacterial small subunit ribosomal RNA", at positions 873 to 1505 of the family's 1533-position model. The record is from RNAcentral. Lineage: Bacteria; Pseudomonadati; Pseudomonadota; Alphaproteobacteria; Rhodobacterales; Paracoccaceae.